Molecule: ribosomal RNA, 305 nt
Filed under: uncultured bacterium
Lineage: Bacteria
Description: bacterial SSU rRNA
Rfam family: Bacterial small subunit ribosomal RNA
Source: RNAcentral
UCCUACGGGACGCAGCAGUGAGGAAUAUUGGUCAAUGGGCUAAGGCCUGAACCAGCCAAGUCGCGUGAGGGAAGACGGUCCUAUGGAUUGUAAACCUCUUUUGUCGGGGAGCAACGAGGCCACGUGUGGCCGAAGUGAGAGUACCCGAAGAAAAAGCAUCGGCUAACUCCGUGCCAGCAGCCGCGGUAAUACGGAGGAUGCGAGCGUUAUCCGGAUUUAUUGGGUUUAAAGGGUGCGUAGGCGGAGUGUCAAGUCAGCGGUAAAAUUUCGGGGCUCAACCCCGUCGUGCCGUUGAAACUGACGCC